UGGGUCGUUAGCUCAGUUGGUAGAGCAGUUGACUUUUAAUCAAUUGCCACUCGGGUCGUUAGCUCAG
RNAcentral lists this transfer RNA (67 nucleotides) under Salmonella enterica subsp. enterica serovar Typhimurium. RNAcentral's name for it is "tRNA-Lys". It matches the Rfam family "tRNA", at positions 1 to 56 of the family's 71-position model. From Rfam's summary of the family: Transfer RNA (tRNA) molecules are approximately 80 nucleotides in length. Their secondary structure includes four short double-helical elements and three loops (D, anti-codon, and T loops). Lineage: Bacteria; Pseudomonadati; Pseudomonadota; Gammaproteobacteria; Enterobacterales; Enterobacteriaceae. The record is from RNAcentral.